This is a long non-coding RNA of Drosophila eugracilis, 224 nucleotides long. RefSeq lists it as uncharacterized. The transcript has 2 exons. The record is from RefSeq and is a predicted model, not a curated record. NCBI's taxonomy places the organism in Eukaryota, Metazoa, Arthropoda, Insecta, Diptera, Drosophilidae.
GGAGCUUGGGGCACGGGCAGUGGUAGCUGCUCAACUUCCUCGUCGAUAUCCGCCUCGUCGUCAGAAGAUUUUGGAGCCGAGGAGUCUGAAAAGGAUUAAGAAACGGCAUCUCAAGUAACACCGAACCUAGCCGCCUUCAUAGCCGGAGAUGUCAACGAAAGGACAUUCUUAUUUCCAUAAUUUAAAAAUCUUGUUAAUAAAAGGACAACGUCUGGUUAAUUUUG